GACGAACGCUGGCGGCGUGCUUAACACAUGCCAGUCGAACGGAAAGGCCCUGCUUUUGUGGGGUGCUCGAGUGGCGAACGGGUGAGUAACACGUGAGUAACCUGCCCUUGACUUUGGGAUAACUUCAGGAAACUGGGGCUAAUACCGGAUAGGAGCUCCUGCUGCAUGGUGGGGGUUGGAAAGUUUCGGCGGUUGGGGAUGUACUCGCGGCUUAUCAGCUUGUUGGUGGGGUAGUGGCUUACCAAGGCUUUGACGGGUAGCCGGCCUGGGAGGGUGACCGGCAAAAUUGGGACUGAGAUAAGGCCCAGACUACUACGGGAGGCAGCAGUGGGGAAUAUUGCACAAUGGGCGGAAGCCUGAUGCAGCAACGCAGCGUGCGGGAUGACGGCCUUCGGGUUGUAAACCGCUUUCGCCUGUGACGAAGCGUGAGUGACGGUAAUGGGUAAAGAAGCACCGGCUAACUACGUG
This 468-nucleotide ribosomal RNA is filed under the name uncultured bacterium. RNAcentral's name for it is "partial 16S ribosomal RNA". It matches the Rfam family "Bacterial small subunit ribosomal RNA", at positions 28 to 507 of the family's 1533-position model. The record is from RNAcentral.